UAUUGCAUUCUUUUGGAGUGCAGAAUACGUUGUUCCGAAAAAAAUAUAACUUAUACCUUGKGCAGACUAGGAUUGCACUCGGCACGAUGAAAUGUGUGGAAUGUACGUACGAAGGUAGAACUAGAAAAACCGAUGGAAAGAUAGCUCGCUUGUGUCUUUGCCUACUAUUGGUGUUUUGUGUGGUUGGUUUGCUGUUGAGCACCGUGUUUAUCUAUCUACAUAUCAACAGCCGUMUCUCUCGUCUUGAAGGAAAACUGUUGGGCUUUACUUCGACUGUUGUACCAACGACAAAUAUAGAAGUACGACGAUAAUAAACGACAAAAAUGUGGAAAUUAAUAGUUACCAGAAAAGUGACAAAAAGGGCAGAAUCGGACUCGUACAUUCUAUUAGGAAAACUGGCCUUCRACUCUAAAGCUAAACACCAGCAAAGAACCACGAGAUAAAGGCACGACUAAGGAAACAUAGAGAAAUCAAUCUCCGAAAUAUGGACAAACUCGUUCUCACUCUCCACAGUCUGUAGAUCCAUGUCGUAAUAAUCGAAUUCUUCAUCUUCCGAACUGGAAUCCCUACCUAACAAAUCCCUUGUCUUGUAUCCUCCUCGGUCAGCCUGAUACCACGAACUCGUUGGAUCCUGUACAUGCUUAUCCCCAUCGUCCGAAUCUGGAGAAUCGAUCUGCCAUGAAGUAUUUGUAUGGUCUUGUUGUAAAACGUCCUGUGAGGCGAUUUCUAUAUUUUUAGUCUUCUUUUCAAUGGAGUCUUCUUUGGAUGCGUUAGUUAACGCUUCAUUAUUGCAUUUGAUAUAUUUAUCAUCUACAUUCUGAUUGAAGCUUGUUUCGAGCUUCUUGUUUUUUUUACUUUGUGAGGACUCUUCGUUUAAAUCUGUCGAUGACAAUUCCACUAAUGGCCGAUGAGAUGCUUCUUUUUCAUCCCCAUCCACCUUGGUCGUGUCACCAUGUUCAUGUUCCAGAUAUUCCAGUUUAGCACGUUUCACUUCUGUUUCGGAUUCACUUCCUUCAUCUUCAGAGGAGCUCGAGUAAGAACCGACUAAUGAUGUUGCUUGAUGUUGCCUUUCAUUUGACGUGAGCUCUUUGGACUCAUCGUCUGUUCUGUCUGGUUCCGUGUGGGAUCUAACUGCUUGACGAACCCAGCAUCCCACACGGAAAUAAUCCUACCACACAUGCGCACAAGAAGAAAAAUAGUUAUAAGUAUUUGGUGUAAUAUUAUAGAAUAAAAUAAAUGUGUUACUUGGUGUCA
Long non-coding RNA from Actinia tenebrosa (Australian red waratah sea anemone), 1254 nucleotides. RefSeq lists it as uncharacterized. The record is from RefSeq and is a predicted model, not a curated record. NCBI's taxonomy places the organism in Eukaryota, Metazoa, Cnidaria, Anthozoa, Actiniaria, Actiniidae.